CGGAUCCGCCGGCCGCUGCAGAGUUUGAUCCUGGCUCAGAUUGAACGCUGGCGGCAGGCUUAACACAUGCAAGUCGAGCGGGGGAAGGUAGCUUGCUACUGGACCUAGCGGCGGACGGGUGAGUAAUGCUUAGGAAUCUGCCUAUUAGUGGGGGACAACAUCUCGAAAGGGAUGCUAAUACCGCAUACGUCCUACGGGAGAAAGCAGGGGAUCUUCGGACCUUGCGCUAAUAGAUGAGCCUAAGUCGGAUUAGCUAGUUGGUGGGGUAAAGGCCUACCAAGGCGACGAUCUGUAGCGGGUCUGAGAGGAUGAUCCGCCACACUGGGACUGAGACACGGCCCAGACUCCUACGGGAGGCAGCAGUGGGGAAUAUUGGACAAUGGGCGCAAGCCUGAUCCAGCCAUGCCGCGUGUGUGAAGAAGGCCUUAUGGUUGUAAAGCACUUUAAGCGAGGAGGAGGCUACUUUAGAUAAUACCUAGAGAUAGAUGGACGUUACUCGCAGAAUAAGC
RNAcentral lists this ribosomal RNA (509 nucleotides) under Acinetobacter nosocomialis. RNAcentral describes it as "bacterial SSU rRNA". It matches the Rfam family "Bacterial small subunit ribosomal RNA", at positions 1 to 491 of the family's 1533-position model. The record is from RNAcentral. Lineage: Bacteria; Pseudomonadati; Pseudomonadota; Gammaproteobacteria; Moraxellales; Moraxellaceae.